CAAGAUGGCAGCCUCCACAAGCGGGGUAUUUUGGCUUCAUUUUUGCACAAUGUUUCCCAGCAUGCCUCAGGGGUGGAGGUGUAUGAGGGGGGUGGAGUCUGUCCUGCUGCCCUGUCAGGUACCAGCUGAUGUUUCCAGGAGCUCCACAUCAGCAGUGUGGGACUGUGAGGAGUUCAGGAACCCAACAGUUCACCUGCGUCUACAGAGCAAUGACGAUCUUAGUGGUCAAAACGAUCGUUACACCAACCGAACAUCAAUGUUCACCGACGCUCUGCAGACUGGAGACCUCAGCCUCACUCUGAGGAACCCCACAGUCUCUGACAGUGGAACCUACUGCUGUAUCGCCCUCAGGUUUGGAGACAGGCUGAGCCAGACUGAAGUACAGCUGAAGGUCUCAGAACCUCCUCCAGUGUGGCCCAAAGUCCUCUCAGCUGUGCUGGUUACUCUGAUCAUCCUGGCUGCUGCCUUUGGUCUGUUUGUGUGCCGUGCAUAUGUAAGGAUGAAGAAGAGGAGUGAAGCUCUGCAACAAGAGGUGGUGGAGGCACCACAGGGGGAGGAGUCUGUCCUUCUACCCUUUAAACCCACAGCUGACCUUCCUCAGGACGUCACAGUGGAGUGGACACACAACAACAUGAAGGUCCACGUGUAUGAGAGUGGAAACAAUCAGCCAGAUAAACAGGACCAGAGUUACAGAGGUCGCACAGAGAUGAAGGAAGAUCCACUGAGAACUAAAGACCUCAGUCUGACCCUGAAACACCUCCACCUCACUGACAGUGGAGUCUACACCUGCACCGUCUACAAGGAUGGAGACAUGCUGACACAGAAAGUAGUGACUCUCAGUGUCAGAGCAACCCUGAUGGGCACCAUGGCUGAGAUGCUUCCACAUUGUCUGUGUUACAGGCAGUGGAGUGUACAGCGAGCACAGUCUGACCAGGAACACAGGAACAGGAACCAUGAAGACGUUCCUCUGAUGGAUCUCCACAGAGUGUCCUGACUCUGUGUCACAUGUUAGCUCCAUGUGGCUCAAAGGUCAAAGCUGCUGACUGUCAGGAAGCUUCAGACAAACAUCAUGAAACACCCCCUCUCCAAUCAGAGCAGGAAGGACCCAUGAUGGAGGCCCUGAGGCCACACCCACACUUCCUGUCAGUGCCUGUGAUUGACAGCUGCCUCCAUCAGUAUCGUAUAUAUCCAUAUAAAUCACCCUGAGGUCACUGAUGUUGUGAUGUUGGUGCUGUAUGAACCACAUUAAAUGUUUUUACA
Oreochromis aureus is the source of this 1260-nucleotide long non-coding RNA. The record is from Ensembl. NCBI's taxonomy places the organism in Eukaryota, Metazoa, Chordata, Actinopteri, Cichliformes, Cichlidae.